AAAACAAAAAAAAUUCACAUCUUUGAAAUAAAAAUCAAGGAGGUGAAUAAUUAAAACCUUAUAAGAGCAUUCCUUGAAUACAGAGCUCAUAUUAGAAGCAUAUCAAACUUUAAACCCCCAAUAUAACCCUAAAUCUUCUUUAGGCAUGGAGGAUGGAACAACUUUGUGCAAAUGCUCUAGACAAAUGGAAAGAGGGUGUCUCAAAUUUCAAGAAGGUGUAAAAUAUGAAUACAAACAGUAUUGGCAUUCAGGAAACAUGAUAAACCUUUUCCCCAAAUAAAUUAAACAUGAAAGGAUGUACAAGUAAUACAUUACAAAUAACAAAUAGAUGAUAUUCACAUGUUGCAACAUUUGGGUUUUUUUGUCAAUAGAAGAAAACAUUUGAUAAAAAAAACCGGUGCCCUUGAGCGGUACAAACAGAUUUGAUGUAAGAGAAAGAACAUACAAGAAAAAAUUUCUUCUCUUAAUAUUAGCACAACCGCAUACAGUUUCCCAGCCUAAACACUCUUCAAAUCUAAGAUCUCUCCCUCCCAGCCCAUCUUUUCCAUGUUUGAUGAUUGAUGAUUGUGGGAAAAAUGAAAUGAUGUUUCCUUAGAUCCCCAAAAAUCCAAUUAGCAUGGCCCUCUUCAGAUCGAACUGCUUCUUAUAAUGUUUCCAUCUAAGCGGACUUCAUGAAGGCAGGAGGGAUUGCUUCUAUUCCUUGUUCUAUUUGUGUGUGCGUGUGUAAGUGGGAACGAGGCAAUAAUAUACAAUGGAUAAUAUUAGGGGGUGAUUUAGGUUUUGGUCACCACUUUUUAGUAUAAAUUAGGUUUUGGAGCCGGUUUUUUUCUUUAUUAGGGUUUAGAGCUCAUUUUCGAACCAACAACUAAAAAAACCCGGUUGAACCGAAAAUAUUUUCAAAAUACCUAAGUUUACCCCUGAAACUCACGUGAUCUGCACGUGAUCACUAACCCUAAUAUAGUUUUGAUCAGGGGUAUUUUGGCCAUUAUAAACAAUUACUUGGGUCAAUUGUCGGUUCAGCUCUAAACCCUAAUAAAGAAAAAAACUGGCUCCAAAACCUAAUUUAUACUAAAAAGUGGUGACCAAAACCUAAAUCACCCUAAUAUUAGGUUGUUCUAUGCUAUAUGUGGUUUGCAGUCAUGCAAUCUUCUUCUUUAGUCCUUGUAUAUGAUCGAAAGAGUUAAAAUAAGAAAAACAAGAGAUUCAAUACAAUGAAUGGAAAAUAUGCUAGAAAUCUAGAAUACAAGUUUGAGAUUGAUAAAGGCUGGAAAAAUAGUAUACGGCUAUCCUAGCAUAUGGCUACAACUAAGAACAGAGUCUAGCAACUACACGACAUCACAACACAAUAUCAGCUCAUAAAGCAAGCUAUCCUAGCAUUCUUGAUUCCAUCUGAAUUACAAGCUUCAGUUGAGAGGGAUGUGAUAUUAUCAUGCAUCAGGUCCUUCCCCAAAGGGACGUCUUGUGGGCGAGAUGGUCUCCGGGCCCAACACCUAUUGGAUGCUAUGAGUGGGGCUGCAUCCGCUGUAGCCACAGAUCUUAUGAAGGCCUUGACACCGGUUGUGAACUUAUGGCUACAAGGUCGAUGCCCACGGGUCUUGGCAGAGUUCAUAGCUAGUGCACCGCUCACCCCACUUCUUAAGCCAGGUAACGGCAUUCGCCCAAUAGCUGUGGGUAUGGUUUGGCGUCGCCUGGUGUCUAAGAUUGCCAUGAGAGGAGUUUCUAAAGAUAUUGUCCCAUACCUAGAGGAUUUUCAGUUUGGGGUUGGUGUGCCUGGUGGAGCAGAGGCAAUUUUGCAUGCUGUUAAUCGGUUGGUUUAUGCCAAUAAGGAUGACACAUCGCUUUCUAUGCUGCUUGUGGACUUUCAGAAUGCCUUCAACCUUGUUGAUCGGUCUGCUAUGCUACGGGAGGUACGCAAUCAUUGUCCAUCUAUUGCUCUAUGGGUCGAAUACCUCUAUUGUCAACCUGCUCGAUUGUAUCUAGGGUCUACUCAUAUUUGGUCAGCAGCUGGGAUACAGCAGGGGGACCCUUUGGGGCCUCUUCUUUUUGCUUUGGUCUUGCAUCCAUUGAUACACCACAUUCAGUCAGAAUGCCACUUGGAGUUGCAGGCAUGGUACUUAGAUGAUGGUACUCUGAUUGGUAGUACAGAAUAUGUGGCUAGAGCUAUUCGUAUCAUUCAGGAAAGAGGGCCAUCUCUUGGGCUCGUGCUUAAUGUGUCUAAGACAGAGUUGUUUUGGCCUUCUGUUGAUCCUGACUGCUCCUAUCCAGAUAUAUUUCCGGUUGGUAUAUCAUGUCCUCAGCGAGGGGUUAAGUUGCUUGGAGGGGCUGUCAGUAUUGAUGCAUCAUUUAUUGUGGGUAAUGUUCGUCAACGAGUGGAUAAGACACUUCAACUUAUGGACUUAUUACCACAUCUAAAGGAUCCGCAGUGUGAGUUGGCACUUUUACGUUCUUGUAUGGGAUUAUCUAAACUCAAAUUUGCUCUCCGUACUUGCCCCCCUGACUAUGUUCAGGAAACAGCCGAAUGGUUUGACCACAAGCUUCGUGCAGCCCUUCAAAAUAUUGUGGUUUCUGAUGGACCUGGUUUUGGCGAUCUACAGUGGCGUAUGGCAACCCUCCCAUUACGUAUGGGUGGACUUGGUAUCUAUUGUGCUAUUGAUGUUAUGAAGUUUGCUUUCGUAGCUUCACGUACGCAAACCAAGGAUCUCCAGGACCACAUUCUUCGAGGUUGUGACACUCCAUCUAUGGGUAAUGUUUUCGAUACUGCCAUUGCUAGUUUACAUCUUUCUAUACCUGAUUUUGAUCUCAGUAAUCUUGUUCCAACUGCUACCGUCCCCUUCAGACCCCAACAUGUCUUGGCGGAAGCAUACUACAACAAGAUUAGUUCUGGUCUUGAGAGGGAAUUUGAGUUGUCAGCUAGACAAAAAGCCGUGAUUGGAUGUGUGCAGUCAGAACAUGCCAAAGAUUUUCUCCUUGCUAUCCCAAUGGAAGGGCUUGGACAACGCAUGACGCCUGUAGAAUAUCGUGUCAUUCUUCGUUAUCGAUUGAUGAUCCCUCUAUAUUCAGAUGGUGAGCUUUGUCCAGUGUGCAAGAAGAGUAGACUUGAUGCUUUCGGGGACCAUGCGGCCCAUUGUAAGCAUUACCCCGGCUUCAAGUACAGGCAUGACCACGUUAGAGAUAUCUUGUGUGAUGUGUUCUGGCGGGCUGGCGUACAGGUUAAGAAGGAGGCUCCUGUUAACUUUCUUACUGAUCCUAAGGAAGGAAGAUCGACAUUACGUCCUGCUGAUAUUCUGGUCUACAACUGGUCUGAAGGUAAACAUACGUCUGUUGAUGUUACAGGGGCGUCUCCGAUGGUUGGGCUGAGUGCUGGGAUUUUUGAGGUGGGGCUAGCAGCUAGCGAUGCAGCAGCGGCAAAAGUGGAGAAACAUGACGGAGCUUGUAGGGCUAACCAACAUAGUUUCAUCCCCUUUGCAUUUGACACAUUUGGAUUGCUAGGCUCAGAAGCAGUUGAGCUCCUCAGGAGAGUGCAAAAGACAAUGAAUAGCAACGUGAUGACUGCAGGUUCGAACGAAUAUGUAUUUAGGAGAAUCGGGUUUGCUAUCCAGAAAGGACUUGCCGCGCAGUUUGUAGCGCGUUUGUCCUCUACUUUUGUGUAAUUCGUUGAGCUUAUCAAUAAAAUUUAUUAAUUUAUUUUUUUUUUAAAAAAAAAAAAAAAAAAAAUUCUUUUCAACUACCAUGAACUGAAAGUAACCCAGAUUCUGAAAUAUAUCUUAAUACUCCAAUUUUUUCCAUUUUAAUCUAUAGAAAAAAAAAAGCUACAACUAAGAACAUAGUUUAGCAACUACACGACAUCACAACACAAUUAAAUCAGCUCAAGCUUCCCCAAAAAUAGUCACCUAUUUCUGGAUCAGCGUUGUUUCCCAUGGCUAC
Molecule: long non-coding RNA, 3924 nt
Filed under: Aquilegia coerulea
Lineage: Eukaryota; Viridiplantae; Streptophyta; Magnoliopsida; Ranunculales; Ranunculaceae
Description: long non-coding RNA (ACOE_LNC001590)
Source: RNAcentral